CCCUUAGAUGUUCUGGGCCGCACGCGUGCUACACUGAGUGGAUCAGCGGGUCAGGUUGCGCGAAAGUGUUUCCUAAUCUUUAAAUCCGCUCGUGAUGGGGAUUGACGGUUGCAAUUUUCUGUCAUGAACGAGGAAUACCUUGUAAGCGCGGGUCAUCAUCCCGCGCUGAAUACGUCCCUGCCCUUUGUACACACCGCCCGUCGCUCCUACCGAUUGAGUGGUCCGGUGAGGCUUUGGGAUCUGAGCGGAAAGAGCGUUUCGCUGUUUCUGCUCGGAAAACUCAGUCGAACCUUAUCAUUGAGAGGAAGGAGAAGUCGUAACA
RNAcentral lists this ribosomal RNA (322 nucleotides) under uncultured eukaryote. RNAcentral's name for it is "partial 18S ribosomal RNA". It matches the Rfam family "Eukaryotic small subunit ribosomal RNA", at positions 1470 to 1796 of the family's 1831-position model. The record is from RNAcentral.